UUCUGUGGCUAUACCACUCUGAGUGUGCACGCUCUUCUGAUCUCAAAAGCUAAGCAGGGUCAGAUCUGGUUAGUACUGGAAUGGGAGACCACAUGGGAAACUGGGUGCUGUAGGCU
Molecule: ribosomal RNA, 116 nt
Filed under: Callithrix jacchus (white-tufted-ear marmoset)
Lineage: Eukaryota; Metazoa; Chordata; Mammalia; Primates; Cebidae
Source: RNAcentral